UACGAGGGGGGCAAGCGUUGUUCGGAAUUAUUGGGCGUAAAGGGCGCGUAGGCGGUGCGGUAAGUCACCUGUGAAAUCUCUGGGCUCAACUCAGAGUCUGCAGGCGAAACUGCCGUGCUGGAGUAUGGGAGAGGUGCGUGGAAUUCCCGGUGUAGCGGUGAAAUGCGCAGAUAUCAGGAAGAACACCCGUGGCGAAGGCGGCUCUCUGGGACGGUACUGACGCUGAGACGCGAAAGCGUGGGGAGCGAACAGG
RNAcentral lists this ribosomal RNA (253 nucleotides) under uncultured bacterium. Its description in RNAcentral is "partial 16S ribosomal RNA". It matches the Rfam family "Bacterial small subunit ribosomal RNA", at positions 524 to 776 of the family's 1533-position model. The record is from RNAcentral.